This 603-nucleotide ribosomal RNA is filed under the name uncultured freshwater bacterium. RNAcentral's name for it is "bacterial SSU rRNA". It matches the Rfam family "Bacterial small subunit ribosomal RNA", at positions 8 to 607 of the family's 1533-position model. The record is from RNAcentral.
AGAGUUUGAUCCUGGCUCAGGAUGAACGCUAGCGGCAGGCCUAAUACAUGCAAGUCGAGGGGUAAAUAUGGUAGCAAUAUCGUAUGAGACCGGCGCACGGGUGCGUAACACGUAUGCAAUCUGCCCGUAACUGGGGCAUAGCCCGGAGAAAUCCGGAUUAAUACCCCAUAUUAUAAGGACAUGGCAUCAUGACCUUAUCAAAGCUCCGGCGGUUACGGAUGAGCAUGCGCGACAUUAGCUAGUUGGUGAGGUAAUGGCUCACCAAGGCGACGAUGUCUAGGGGGUCUGAGAGGAUGAUCCCCCACACUGGUACUGAGACACGGACCAGACUCCUACGGGAGGCAGCAGUAGGGAAUAUUGGUCAAUGGACGCAAGUCUGAACCAGCCAUGCCGCGUGCAGGAAGAAGGUCCUAUGGAUUGUAAACUGCUUUUCUACGGGAAGAAACCCCUGGAUGCGUCCGGNGCUGACGGUACCGUAGGAAUAAGGAUCGGCUAACUCCGUGCCAGCAGCCGCGGUAAGACGGAGGAUCCAAGCGUUGUCCGGAUUUACUGGGUUUAAAGGGUGCGUAGGCGGACGAUUAAGUCAGUGGUGAAAGCCUGUAG